UCCUCCCCCUCCCCAGCCGCCUUGUGCAAAGAUGGCUGCACCGUGAGCGCAGAGGAGGAGGAGGCGGCGGCGGCGGCGGCGGCGAGAGAGCGAGCACCCAGCGCCUGCACCCACCCCCGGGGCCGCCCCGGGGACGCCCCCCUCCCGAGCGCGUGCCCCCCCUUCUUCUCUUUGCAAGCGCCGGGGCCAAAGGCGGAGACAGCGGGGGUCCCUCCUCCCCCUCCUCUUAGGGGGGAACCCCCCCCUUCCCCCUUCUUGGCUCAGCAGCCUGCACCCCCCUCCUUUUGCCCGCCCCCUCGGUCCCUGCCCCCCUCCCUUCCCCCCGCCCCGGACCUUCCCGGGCCUUUGGUGGCUGCCAAGAGGAAAAAACAGGAAAGGGGGGAAAAAAAGCAGCGGAGGGAGCGGCGGCGGAGGAAAAGCGCGCGCGCGCCCCCUCCUUCCCCUCCCUCCCCCUCCCCCUCCCCCCAAUUUCCACCGCGGCCAAUUCAUGGACAGGAACUACCCCAGCGCCGGCUUCGGGGACCCGCUCGGCGCCGGGGCGGGAUGGAGUUACGAGAGGUCAGCGAAAGCUAGCUUGGUCUAUGGCAGCUCCAGGACCUCGCACCCCGAAACGGACAUCUUACAUCGACAGGCCUACGCGGCCCCCCACCCACUGCAAAGCUAUGCCACCAACCACCACCCGGCAGGUACGGCCCCCAUCCCGCCCGGUUUAGCUUCUGCCCUCCUUCCCCAACAGCUGGUUGGCUGCUGAAAGUUCCGCCCCUCCUAAUUGGUCGUGCCGAGUGUCGUGGCCCUCCUCUUACUGUCUCUCCUCUGAUUGGUUGCUGGUUGCAGCUUAAUUUCAC
RNAcentral lists this long non-coding RNA (845 nucleotides) under Cavia porcellus (domestic guinea pig). RNAcentral describes it as "lncRNA (ENSCPOG00000033963.1)". The record is from RNAcentral. Lineage: Eukaryota; Metazoa; Chordata; Mammalia; Rodentia; Caviidae.